This 858-nucleotide ribosomal RNA is filed under the name Fannyhessea vaginae. Its description in RNAcentral is "bacterial SSU rRNA". It matches the Rfam family "Bacterial small subunit ribosomal RNA", at positions 28 to 895 of the family's 1533-position model. Lineage: Bacteria; Bacillati; Actinomycetota; Coriobacteriia; Coriobacteriales; Atopobiaceae. The record is from RNAcentral.
GAUGAACGCUGGCGGCGCGCCUAACACAUGCAAGUCGAACGGUUAAAGCAUCUUCGGAUGUGUAUAAAGUGGCGAACGGCUGAGUAACACGUGGGCAACCUGCCCUUUGCACUGGGAUAGCCUCGGGAAACCGAGGUUAAUACCGGAUACUCCAUAUUUGUCGCAUGGCGAAUAUGGGAAAGCUCCGGCGGCAAAGGAUGGGCCCGCGGCCUGUUAGCUAGUUGGUGGGGUAGUGGCCUACCAAGGCAAUGAUGGGUAGCCGGGUUGAAAGACCGACCGGCCAGAUUGGGACUGAGACACGGCCCAGACUCCUACGGGAGGCAGCAGUGGGGAAUCUUGCACAAUGGGCGAAAGCCUGAUGCAGCGACGCCGCGUGCGGGAUGAAGGCCUUCGGGUUGUAAACCGCUUUCAGCAGGGACGAGGCCGCAAGGUGACGGUACCUGCAGAAGAAGCCCCCGGCUAACUACGUGCCAGCAGCCGCGGUAAUACGUAGGGGGCAAGCGUUAUCCGGAAUUCAUUGGGGCGUAAAGCGCGCGUAGGCGGUCUGUUAGGUCAGGAGUUAAAUCUGGGGGCUCAACCCCUAUCCGCUCCUGAUACCGGCAGGCUUGAGUCUGGUAGGGGAAGAUGGAAUUCCAAGUGUAGCGGUGAAAUGCGCAGAUAUUUGGAAGAACACCGGUGGCGAAGGCGGUCUUCUGGGCCAUGACUGACGCUGAGGCGCGAAAGCUAGGGGAGCGAACAGGAUUAGAUACCCUGGUAGUCCUAGCUGUAAACGAUGGACACUAGGUGUGGGGAGAUUAUACUUUCCGUGCCGCAGCUAACGCAUUAAGUGUCCCGCCUGGGGAGUACGGUCGCAAGACU